CUAAAUGUAAUUUAUAUAAAAUUUAGAAUUGUGGUUUCUAAUAAAUCAAUUAAUUUGAUCAUUUAGA
This 67-nucleotide transfer RNA is filed under the name Ciona intestinalis (vase tunicate). RNAcentral describes it as "tRNA (ENSCING00000025207.1)". Lineage: Eukaryota; Metazoa; Chordata; Ascidiacea; Phlebobranchia; Cionidae. RNAcentral also lists the same sequence under 1 other name. The record is from RNAcentral.